RNAcentral lists this ribosomal RNA (292 nucleotides) under uncultured bacterium. RNAcentral describes it as "partial 16S ribosomal RNA". It matches the Rfam family "Bacterial small subunit ribosomal RNA", at positions 505 to 796 of the family's 1533-position model. The record is from RNAcentral.
GUGCCAGCAGCCGCGGUAAGACGAACCUGACGAACGUUAUUCGGAAUCACUGGGCUUAAAGGGUGCGUAGGCUGUGCAGAAAGUUGGGUGUGAAAUCCCUCGGCUUAACCGAGGAACUGCGCCCAAAACUACUGUGCUUGAGUGAGAUAGAGGUGAGCGGAACUUAGGGUGGAGCGGUGAAAUGCGUUGAUAUCCUAAGGAACACCGGUGGCGAAAGCGGCUCACUGGGUCUCAACUGACGCUGAUGCACGAAAGCUAGGGUAGCGAACGGGAUUAGAAACCCUCGUAGUCC